RNAcentral lists this ribosomal RNA (700 nucleotides) under uncultured Variovorax sp. RNAcentral's name for it is "bacterial SSU rRNA". It matches the Rfam family "Bacterial small subunit ribosomal RNA", at positions 61 to 756 of the family's 1533-position model. Lineage: Bacteria; Pseudomonadati; Pseudomonadota; Betaproteobacteria; Burkholderiales; Comamonadaceae. The record is from RNAcentral.
GUCGAACGGCAGCGCGGGAGCAAUCCUGGCGGCGAGUGGCGAACGGGUGAGUAAUACAUCGGAACGUGCCCAAUCGUGGGGGAUAACGCAGCGAAAGCUGUGCUAAUACCGCAUACGAUCUACGGAUGAAAGCAGGGGAUCGCAAGACCUUGCGCGAAUGGAGCGGCCGAUGGCAGAUUAGGUAGUUGGUGAGGUAAAGGCUCACCAAGCCUUCGAUCUGUAGCUGGUCUGAGAGGACGACCAGCCACACUGGGACUGAGACACGGCCCAGACUCCUACGGGAGGCAGCAGUGGGGAAUUUUGGACAAUGGGCGAAAGCCUGAUCCAGCCAUGCCGCGUGCAGGAUGAAGGCCUUCGGGUUGUAAACUGCUUUUGUACGGAACGAAACGGCCUUUUCUAAUAAAGAGGGCUAAUGACGGUACCGUAAGAAUAAGCACCGGCUAACUACGUGCCAGCAGCCGCGGUAAUACGUAGGGUGCAAGCGUUAAUCGGAAUUACUGGGCGUAAAGCGUGCGCAGGCGGUUAUGUAAGACAGUUGUGAAAUCCCCGGGCUCAACCUGGGAACUGCAUCUGUGACUGCAUAGCUAGAGUACGGUAGAGGGGGAUGGAAUUCCGCGUGUAGCAGUGAAAUGCGUAGAUAUGCGGAGGAACACCGAUGGCGAAGGCAAUCCCCUGGACCUGUACUGACGCUCAUGCACGA